AGGACCAAUGUUCCCUCUAAGCUGCGCGCGUGCGCAAUCGCGCACUGCCCGCACAUUCUCAGCGCACAAGAAAAUCUAUCCAGCGCAUAAACAACAUCAACAUAACGUAUUAAUUCAUAUCUAAUAUUAGACCUAAUCUAAUCUAAUUAAUUCGCCCAAUAAUAUUGUUUUUUUGUUUCUCACUCAGUGAGUGACAGGUGUCCAGCCAAUGAUACGAUACGGUUCACUUACGGUACGAAGCCAAUCAUGGCAUUGACGGUGCUUGCGUCUGGGCCCUGCCUAUAUGCGCCGUGCAGGUUAGCUAGCAGGUUAAUAGAUGCUAAUACAAACCCCGCAUCAUGGCGAAACGAACAGGCAGCGACACAUCCACUCAGCAAGCCACAGUAAAAAAGAAAUGCAGUUCUUUUAAGAUGGAAUGGCUGUCGGAGUAUGUGCAAAUUGAAGAAAAAGCGGUGAAAUUGGGUGAGAUUUUUUCUUUUUCAAGUGAGAAAGGUCUACUCUGCAAAACAUGCAGCGAUGCCAAAGUAGCAAGUGAGUUUUCAGAGGGAAAAAUGUGGACUGAAUGGAAGCUGGACUAUCUCAAGCGUCACGUUCAGCAUAAAAGUCAUUUAAAAGCUGUCGAAACUGUACGAAGACUCAAGAUGGGACAGGGGAUUGGUACAUUAUUGCGGGAGAGCGCAAAAGAGCGAGAGAAAAGGAACGAGCUGUCACACAAAACAAAAUCGGACCCUGAACAAGUUAAAGUUCUCAUUGACAAUAUUUUACUUGCCAUCAAAAUGAAUGCAUCAAUUCUGUCAGUUCAACAAAUCCACGAUCACAUGGCAAAGUAUGUGAGUAUACCAGAAAGCUGGCGAAGCAAAAACUAUGCCUUUGAAUUUGUGAACUCAAUCAAUGAGAUAGUGCAGAAUGAGACUAUGUGCAGUAUUAAAAAUGCACCCUGGCAUACCCUGAUAGUAGAUGAGAGCACAGACAUAUCAGUACACAAAAUGCUAGUCAUAUAUAUUAAAUACAGGGAGGAAAAUGAUGUUAACUACAAAACUGUGUUUGGUGGCAUCAUCCAGCUGACAGCAUGCACUGCUCAGGAUAUUGUGCAAGGAAUAACUCAGUUUUACUCCAAACAUGGACUGGACAUGCAGAAAAUGGUGAUGCUGACCUCCGAUGGUGCCUCAGUAAUGCUAGGAAAACACAACGGAGUUGCAGCUUUGUUAAAGCGCCAAAUACCACACCUAACUGAACAACAUUGUGUGGCCCACAGAGAGGACUUGGGCAUUGAUCAAUCAGCACAUUCUCAGAUAUGGUUGCUGCAACACUUAGAUGUGAGGAGCUAAAGGAGAUCUCACAGCUUGUGGAUAUUUGUGCUACAUUUCAAGCUUCCAGUGCCGACUGUGAAAGAGGAUUUAGUUUAAUGAAUCAUAUCAAAACAAAAUCCAGAAAUCGUCUUGAAGUGACACAUUUGGACCAGCUGAUGCGCAUAAAGUCAAAGCAAGAAGCAGACGAAGCCAUCAACCUGGACAAAGUGUACAACCAUUGGAGAAGUGAGAAGGACAGACGUGAAAAAUAAGAACAGGACCCUCAGCCAGGCAAAGCAGGACUCUUCCCAUGGCCAAAGCAGGACUCUCACAUACUGUAUAACAUCUACACAUCCCAUUUUUCAGAUUUUUGUCUUUUUUUAAGUGGACCAAAUUACUUAUUUAAAAAUAAAGCGUGCAUAUCUAAUGUUG
Molecule: long non-coding RNA, 1721 nt
Organism: Anguilla rostrata (American eel)
Lineage: Eukaryota; Metazoa; Chordata; Actinopteri; Anguilliformes; Anguillidae
Exons: 2
Source: RefSeq, a predicted model, not a curated record